RNAcentral lists this long non-coding RNA (790 nucleotides) under Takifugu rubripes (torafugu). Its description in RNAcentral is "lncRNA (ENSTRUG00000028043.1)". The record is from RNAcentral. Lineage: Eukaryota; Metazoa; Chordata; Actinopteri; Tetraodontiformes; Tetraodontidae.
UAAUAGUGGAGAGGCUGCUCUUAGAGACUAUAAUCAUCAGUAUAAAUCCUCCACUAAUCAUUCAUCCAAAAUGUGAUGAUAUUUCUCCUUUGGUAAAUUUAGCACCUCCGGUGUUUAACACAAACCCACAGCAAAUGCUCGCCGCUAAUGAUCAUCCUUGAGCGAAUUUUGUUUGUCCGAGUCGAAGGAAUGUGGCUGUUAGAGGUGUUCCUGCGCAGCUCCGUCUGGGGCGGCCGACCGGAGAGAGUGUGAAGCUUUCUUUGGCCUGCUGUGUCCAAAGAAAGAAAGUGAGGAAAUAAAGAGGGAGGGAGCCCCCGAGACCACGUCCAAACACAGCAAACAUGGCAGCACCACACACUGCGUGUAUACUCGGACGUGGCCCGAGCAGUGGAUCUUUUAUCGCUGAACGUCUGGGAAACAACAACACUUCCUCGAAUCGCCACUAGUGGCCGCUGUUGUCCAGCUGAAGGUGCGAGCUCGUGAUAAGGUUCUGCCCCGAGGAGGUGAAGAUAUGACCAUGGAGACCAGCUCACAGGGAGGGAGACACUACACCAGUUAAAUAUUCAGUUUUAAAAGCUACAUAAACCAGAGAAGAGACGGCACGACGGCAGCACGACGUUUUAUAAGCUACAUAAGCCAGAGAGAAGGCAUAGCACAACGACAUCACGACGGCAGCACGGCGACAGCAACUAUUAAUAAUAUUAUUAUUAACUUAUUCUCACAACUUUUUUUGCCUUAUUCAUAUUUUUAUUUGAUGUUAUUCUUUGAAUUUUUCAUUUCAGUUUUAUAA